AUUGAACGCUGGCGGCAUGCUUUACACAUGCAAGUCGAACGGUAACAGGCCUUCGGGUGCUGACGAGUGGCGAACGGGUGCGUAAUGCAUCGGAACGUACCCAGAGGUGGGGGAUAACGCAGCGAAAGCUGUGCUAAUACCGCAUGUGAUCUGAGGAUGAAAGCGGGGGACCGAGCAGCAAUGUUUGGCCUCGCGCCUUUGGAGCGGCCGAUGUCGGAUUAGCUAGUUGGUGGGGUAAAGGCCUACCAAGGCGACGAUCCGUAGCUGGUCUGAGAGGACGAUCGGCCACACUGGGACUGAGACACGGCCCAGACUCCUACGGGAGGCAGCAGUGGGGAAUUUUGGACAAUGGGCGCAAGCCUGAUCCAGCAAUGCCGCGUGAGUGAAGAAGGCCUUCGGGUUGUAAACCGCUUUUGGCAGGAACGAAACGGUGUCCGCUAAUACCGGGCGCUAAUGACGGUACCUGCAGAAUAAGCACCGGCUAACUACGUG
This 492-nucleotide ribosomal RNA is filed under the name uncultured bacterium. RNAcentral's name for it is "partial 16S ribosomal RNA". It matches the Rfam family "Bacterial small subunit ribosomal RNA", at positions 30 to 507 of the family's 1533-position model. The record is from RNAcentral.